RNAcentral lists this unclassified non-coding RNA (343 nucleotides) under soil metagenome. RNAcentral describes it as "partial contains 5.8S ribosomal RNA, internal transcribed spacer 2, and large subunit ribosomal RNA". The stretch from base 1 to 120 matches the Rfam family "5.8S ribosomal RNA", at positions 35 to 154 of the family's 154-position model. The record is from RNAcentral.
GAUGAAGAACGCAGCGAAAUGCGAUAAGUAAUGUGAAUUGCAGAAUUCAGUGAAUCAUCGAAUCUUUGAACGCACAUUGCGCCCGCUAGUAUUCUGGCGGGCAUGCCUGUCCGAGCGUCAUUUCAACCCUCAAGCCCCCGGGCUUGGUGUUGGGGAUCGGCGAGCCUCCGCGCCCGCCGUCCCCUAAAUCUAGUGGCGGUCUCGCUGUAGCUUCCUCUGCGUAGUAGCACACCUCGCACUGGGAAACAGCGCGGCCACGCCGUUAAACCCCCAACUUCUGAACGUUUGACCUCGGAUCAGGUAGGAAUACCCGCUGAACUUAAGCAUAUCAAUAAGCUGAGGA